CCUACGGGAGUCAGCAGUGGGGGAUAUUGCACAAUGGUGGAAACCCUGAUGCAGCGACGCCGCGUGUGGGAAGACGGUCCUCUGGAUUGUACACCACUGUCCCCAGGGACGCAAAUGACGGUACCUGGGGAGGAAGCUCCGGCUAACUACGUGCCAGCAGCCGCGGUAAUACGUAGGGAGCGAGCGUUGUCCGGAAUUACUGGGUGUAAAGGGAGCGUAGGCGGGGAUGCAAGUUGGGUGUCAAAACUACCGGCUCAACUGGUAGUCGCACUCAAAACUGCAGCUCUUGAGUGAAGUAGAGGCAGGCGGAAUUCCUAGGGUAGCGGGGAAAUGCGUAGAUAUUAGGAGGAACACCAGUGGCGAAGGCGGCCUGCUGGGCUUUUACUGACGCUGAGGCUCGAAAGUGUGGGGAGCAAACAGGAUUAGAUACCCGUGUAGUC
Molecule: ribosomal RNA, 440 nt
Filed under: uncultured bacterium
Lineage: Bacteria
Description: partial 16S ribosomal RNA
Rfam family: Bacterial small subunit ribosomal RNA
Source: RNAcentral